CCCUUAGAUGUUCUGGGCCGCACGCGCGCUACACUGAUGAAUUCAACGAGUAUUCCCUUGACCGAGAGGUCUGGGUAAUCUUUGAAACUUCAUCGUGAUGGGGAUAGAGCACUGCAACUGUGCUCUUAAACGAGGAAUUCCUAGUAAGCGUGAGUCAUCAGCUCGCGUUGAUUACGUCCCUGCCCUUUGUACACACCGCCCGUCGCUCCUACCGAUUGAAUGAUCCGGUGAAGUCUUCGGACAGUUGGCGCACCGAUUUAUUUCGGAGCGACGACUGGAAGUUGCCUAAACCUUAUCAUUUAGAGGAAGGAGAAGUCGUAACA
This 323-nucleotide ribosomal RNA is filed under the name uncultured eukaryote. Its description in RNAcentral is "partial 18S ribosomal RNA". It matches the Rfam family "Eukaryotic small subunit ribosomal RNA", at positions 1470 to 1796 of the family's 1831-position model. The record is from RNAcentral.